Molecule: long non-coding RNA, 1395 nt
Filed under: Oncorhynchus mykiss (rainbow trout)
Lineage: Eukaryota; Metazoa; Chordata; Actinopteri; Salmoniformes; Salmonidae
Description: lncRNA (ENSOMYG00000073738.1)
Source: RNAcentral
AUGUUAUUCACUGUGUCAUUCUGUCUCCUGGAAGGUUAUUCACUGUGUCAUUCUGUCUCCUGGAAGGUUAUUCACUGUGUCAUUCUGUCUCCUGGAAGGUUAUUCACUGUGUCAUUCUGUCUCCUGGAAGGUUAUUCACUGUGUCAUUCUGUCUCCUGGAAGGUUAUUCACUGUGUCAUUCUGUCUCCUGGAAGGUUAUUCACUGUGUCAUUCUGUCUCCUGGAAUGUUAUUCACUGUGUCAUUCUGUCUCCUGGAAGGUUAUUCACUGUGUCAUUCUGUCUCCUGGAAGGUUAUUCACUGUGUCAUUCUGUCUCCUGGAAGGUUAUUCACUGUGUCAUUCUGUCUCCUGGAAGGUUAUUCACUGUGUCAUUCUGUCUCCUGGAAUGUUAUUCACUGUGUCAUUCUGUCUCCUGGAAGGUUAUUCACUGUGUCAUUCUGUCUCCUGGAAGGUUAUUCACUGUGUCAUUCUGUCUCCUGGAAGGUUCUUCACUGUGUCAUUCUGUCUCCUGGAAGGUUAUUCACUGUGUCAUUCUGUCUCCUGGAAGGUUCUUCACUGUGUCAUUCUGUCUCCUGGAAGGUUAUUCACUGUGUCAUUCUGUCUCCUGGAAGGUUAUUCACUGUGUCAUUCUGUCUCCUGGAAGGUUAUUCACUGUGUCAUUCUGUCUCCUGGAAGGUUAUUCACUGUGUCAUUCUGUCUCCUGGAAGGUUCUUCACUGUGUCAUUCUGUCUCCUGGAAGGUUCCUCACUGUGUCAUUCUGUCUCCUGGAAGGUGGUUCACUGUGUCAUUCUGUCUCCUGGAAGGUUCUUCACUGUGUCAUUCUGUCUCCUGGAAGGUUAUUCACUGUGUCAUUCUGUCUCCUGGAAGGUGGUUCACUGUGUCAUUCUGUCUCCUGGAAGGUUAUUCACUGUGUCAUUCUGUCUCCUGGAAGGUUCCUCACUGUGUCAUUCUGUCUCCUGGAAGGUUAUUCACUGUGUCAUUCUGUCUCCUGGAAGGUUAUUCACUGUGUCAUUCUGUCUCCUGGAAGGUUAUUCACUGUGUCAUUCUGUCUCCUGGAAGGUUAUUCACUGUGUCAUUCUGUCUCCUGGAAGGUUAUUCACUGUGUCAUUCUGUCUCCUGGAAGGUUAUUCACUGUGUCAUUCUGUCUCCUGGAAGGUUAUUCACUGUGUCAUUCUGUCUCCUGGAAGGUUCUUCACUGUGUCAUUCUGUCUCCUGGAAGGUUAUUCACUGUGUCAUUCUGUCUCCUGGAAGGUUCUUCACUGUGUCAUUCUGUCUCCUGGAAGGUUAUUCACUGUGUCAUUCUGUCUCCUGGAAGGUUAUUCACUGUGUCAUUCUGUCUCCUGGAAGGUGGUUCACUGUCUCACCUCCACUAGUGUGGUCCCAGAUCUGUUUGUGA